CCUGAAAUAGCUCAGUUGGGAAAACGUUAGACUGAAGAUCUAAAGGUCCCUGUCCAAUCCUGGGUUUUGGCA
This 72-nucleotide transfer RNA is filed under the name Chlamydotis macqueenii (Macqueen's bustard). RNAcentral's name for it is "Chlamydotis undulata macqueenii tRNA". It matches the Rfam family "tRNA". Rfam says of the family: Transfer RNA (tRNA) molecules are approximately 80 nucleotides in length. Their secondary structure includes four short double-helical elements and three loops (D, anti-codon, and T loops). Further hydrogen bonds mediate the characteristic L-shaped molecular structure. tRNAs have two regions of fundamental functional importance: the anti-codon, which is responsible for specific mRNA codon recognition, and the 3' end, to which the tRNAs corresponding amino acid is attached (by aminoacyl-tRNA synthetases). tRNAs cope with the degeneracy of the genetic code in two manners: having more than one tRNA (with a specific anti-codon) for a particular amino acid; and 'wobble' base-pairing, i.e. permitting non-standard base-pairing at the 3rd anti-codon position. The record is from Rfam by way of RNAcentral. Lineage: Eukaryota; Metazoa; Chordata; Aves; Otidiformes; Otididae.